RNAcentral lists this ribosomal RNA (486 nucleotides) under uncultured bacterium. RNAcentral describes it as "partial 16S ribosomal RNA". It matches the Rfam family "Bacterial small subunit ribosomal RNA", at positions 30 to 507 of the family's 1533-position model. The record is from RNAcentral.
AUUGAACGCUGGCGGCAUGCCUUACACAUGCAAGUCGAACGGCAGCACGGGUGCUUGCACCUGGUGGCGAGUGGCGAACGGGUGAGUAAUACAUCGGAACAUGUCCUGUAGUGGGGGAUAGCCCGGCGAAAGCCGGAUUAAUACCGCAUACGAUCCACGGAUGAAAGCGGGGGACCUUCGGGCCUCGCGCUAUAGGGUUGGCCGAUGGCUGAUUAGCUUGUUGGUGGGGUAAAGGCCUACCAAGGCGACGAUCAGUAGCUGGUCUGAGAGGACGACCAGCCACACUGGGACUGAGACACGGCCCAGACUCCUACGGGAGGCAGCAGUGGGGAAUUUUGGACAAAGGGCGAAAGCCUGAUCCAGCAAUGCCGCGUGUGUGAAGAAGGCCUUCGGGUUGUAAAGCACUUUUGUCCGGAAAGAAAUCCUUGGCUCUAAUACAGUCGGGGGAUGACGGUACCGGAAGAAUAAGCACCGGCUAACUACGUG